RNAcentral lists this ribosomal RNA (730 nucleotides) under uncultured bacterium. RNAcentral describes it as "SSU rRNA". It matches the Rfam family "Bacterial small subunit ribosomal RNA", at positions 505 to 1239 of the family's 1533-position model. The record is from RNAcentral.
GUGCCAGCCGCCGCGGUAAUACGGAGGAUCCAAGCGUUAUCCGGAAUCAUUGGGUUUAAAGGGUCCGUAGGUGGAUAAUUAAGUCAGAGGUGAAAUCUUGCAGCUCAACUGUAAAAUUGCCUUUGAUACUGGUUAUCUUGAGUUAUUAUGAAGUAGUUAGAAUAUGUAGUGUAGCGGUGAAAUGCAUAGAUAUUACAUAGAAUACCAAUUGCGAAGGCAGAUUACUAAUAAUCAACUGACACUGAUGGGCGAAAGCGUGGGUAGCGAACAGGAUUAGAUACCCUGGUAGUCCACGCCGUAAACGAUGGUUACUAGCUGUUUGGACCUUGUGUCUGAGUGGCUAAGCGAAAGUGAUAAGUAACCCACCUGGGGAGUACGUUCGCAAGAAUGAAACUCAAAGGAAUUGACGGGGGCCCGCACAAGCGGUGGAGCAUGUGGUUUAAUUCGAUGAUACGCGAGGAACCUUACCAGGGCUUAAAUGUAAGUUGCAUUAGUUAGAGAUAGCUAUUUCUUCGGACCACUUACAAGGUGCUGCAUGGUUGUCGUCAGCUCGUGCCGUGAGGUGUCAGGUUAAGUCCUAUAACGAGCGCAACCCCUGUUGUUAGUUGCCAGCGAGUCAUGUCGGGAACUCUAACAAGACUGCCGGUGCAAACCGUGAGGAAGGUGGGGAUGACGUCAAAUCAUCACGGCCCUUACGUCCUGGGCUACACACGUGCUACAAUGGUCGGUA